This 446-nucleotide ribosomal RNA is filed under the name Micrococcus sp. oral taxon F54. RNAcentral describes it as "bacterial SSU rRNA". It matches the Rfam family "Bacterial small subunit ribosomal RNA", at positions 28 to 487 of the family's 1533-position model. Lineage: Bacteria; Bacillati; Actinomycetota; Actinomycetes; Micrococcales; Micrococcaceae. The record is from RNAcentral.
GAUGAACGCUGGCGGCGUGCUUAACACAUGCAAGUCGAACGAUAAAGCCCAGCUUGCUGGGUGGAUUAGUGGCGAACGGGUGAGUAACACGUGAGUAACCUGCCCUUGACUCUGGGAUAAGCCCGGGAAACUGGGUCUAAUACCGGAUAGGAGCGCCUGUCGCAUGACGGGUGUUGGAAAGAUUUUUCGGUCAUGGAUGGACUCGCGGCCUAUCAGCUUGUUGGUGAGGUAAUGGCUCACCAAGGCGACGACGGGUAGCCGGCCUGAGAGGGUGACCGGCCACACUGGGACUGAGACACGGCCCAGACUCCUACGGGAGGCAGCAGUGGGGAAUAUUGCACAAUGGGCGGAAGCCUGAUGCAGCGACGCCGCGUGAGGGAUGACGGCCUUCGGGUUGUAAACCUCUUUCAGUAGGGAAGCUGCGAAAGGUGACGUACCUGCAGAAG